GGUCGGUAUUUAAUAUCUGUAAAACUGCCACUCGGACAGCCAAGGUAAACAGCGUCCCCGACAGUUCAAAGGUGAGCGCGCCCCAGCGCUUUCCCUCGGGCCGCGCAGCCAGCGCCGCAUCUGUGCACCCCGCGCCGCGUCUCCCACGCACGCUCCAGAUUUCUCAUUAAAAUCGGCGACUGUGUCAACAGCGCGGCCGGGACUCCAGAGCUGGAAAAGCCAUUUCGCCGUCCCACCCGGCCCCGUCAGGUCGCCACCUCUGCGCUGCUCCUUAGAGGGUCCCCGGAGGGCCCCCGGAGCGCGCGCGCUGUCGGGCCCGGGCCAGGCCACCCAGCGGCGGUGCGAGCCCACCCGGCCCCGGGCCCAGGAAGCGGAGGCCCGACAGUUGCCCUGCUGUUCUGCCUCUGUUGGCCACCUUCUCCUUCUGUCCUGAAGGCCCUUCUGUCCCCAACCUCCUCUGAAGGAAGCUCUGCAG
This is a long non-coding RNA of Microtus oregoni (creeping vole), 475 nucleotides long. RefSeq lists it as uncharacterized. Lineage: Eukaryota; Metazoa; Chordata; Mammalia; Rodentia; Cricetidae. The record is from RefSeq and is a predicted model, not a curated record. The transcript has 3 exons.